GCGGCGGGCCCGGUAGGAUUCCAAGUCCGCCCGUGUAAAGGCAGGGGACCGCGGUGGCACCCCGGAUAUGGGCCCGGCUUUAGCCAGGAACGAGUGAGCGCCACGACCCAUCUCUCAGAGAGAGCGAACCCGCUCAAGUUGAAAGGAUUAAUCACCGUGCAACUCAGCCGACUCACCCAAUGCAGCGUUCCUUGUCGGCGUACACAGGAGUCCCCCCUUAUCCAUGGCUUCGCAUUCUGGUGGUUUCACUCACCUGUGUCAAUGGUGGUUCGGUCUGGAAGCAGAUGACCUUCCUUCCCACCUAGCCUCAGAUCAAGAGUAGCCAGAUGCUGCAUCACCAUGCCUGUCAUUCACCUCACUUCGUCUCAUCACUAGGCAUUUUAGCAUCUCACAUCAUCAGAACUAGGAAGGAAGUGACGAGGCAGGCGUGCACAGAGGGAAACCACAUGAACACACAGGGAAGAGACACCAUUGGCAAGUAAAGGAGAGAAACCUUGGAACAAACAACCUGCUGACAUCUUGAUCUCAGACUUCUCAUCUCCAGAACAGUGAGAAAAUACGUUUCUGUUGUUUUAGCUGCUGAGUCUGUGCUACUUUGCUAUGGCAGCCCCAGAAAACUAAUAGUGAGUCCGGAUCUACUCAUUUCCUUUUAUUUCAUUCUUUUGUUUGUUUUGGUGUUCUUUGCUUUAUUGUCCCUCAGUUACCUUUUUCCUGACUUUUAAUGAGAUUAACUAUAUUUUCAGGAUUGUAUUUGACUUUUCUUACUGGGUUUUAGCUAGCUUACUGGCAUAUUUUUAGUUUCUUCUAGAAAUUUCCUUAUACAUCCUUCACUUUUCACAAUUCAUUUUCAGUUAAUAUUAUACCACUUUACAUAAAAUAUAAAAACAUUCCAAGAGUCAAGGGCCACAUACACCACUCCUUCCUUUAUUCUAGUGUUAUAUAUGUUAUUCUAGAGUUAUCGUAUGUAAAAUCUACUUACAUUAAACACCAC
This is a long non-coding RNA of Herpailurus yagouaroundi (jaguarundi), 991 nucleotides long. RefSeq lists it as uncharacterized. The transcript is spliced from 3 exons. Lineage: Eukaryota; Metazoa; Chordata; Mammalia; Carnivora; Felidae. The record is from RefSeq and is a predicted model, not a curated record.